AUACGGAGGCUGCAAGCGUUAUCCGGAAUCAUUGGGUUUAAAGGGUCCGUAGGCGGACUAAUAAGUCAGGGGUGAAAUCCCACAGCUUAACUGUGGAACUGCCUUUGAUACUGUUAGUCUUGAGUUAUAUGGAAGUAGAUAGGAUGUGUAGUGUAGCGGUGAGAUGCUUAGAGAUUACACAGAAUACCGAUUGCGAAGGCAGUCUACUACAUAUAUACUGACGCUAAUGGACGAAAGCGUGGGGAGCGAACAGGAUUAGAAACCCUUGUAGUCC
Molecule: ribosomal RNA, 274 nt
Filed under: uncultured bacterium
Lineage: Bacteria
Description: partial 16S ribosomal RNA
Rfam family: Bacterial small subunit ribosomal RNA
Source: RNAcentral